AGGACAAAGUGAUCCAUGCCGUCCCGCCGCACGCGUGCGGACGAUCUCACGUAGCG
This 56-nucleotide small RNA is filed under the name Sinorhizobium meliloti 2011. RNAcentral's name for it is "putative ncRNA". The record is from RNAcentral. Lineage: Bacteria; Pseudomonadati; Pseudomonadota; Alphaproteobacteria; Hyphomicrobiales; Rhizobiaceae.